UGAUAAGCAGCAUGAUGAGAGUGAUCCAAGUCCCUGUUGGAGUCAGUCAGAGCAUUUCCAUAGAGAGCCACUUUGCAUCAGCAGCACCAUGCUCCAGUGCUCUGGGAGAGUUUAUAGUCCUGAGAGUUGAACACUGGAUGACUGACAGCUGUCCUUCAUGACAACAGAAGACACAGAAAUCCUCCUCAUCAAAAACAUGACUUUGACCUGCGUCCUCAUCUGGACUCUCCUCUGCUGCUGCUUCACAGAGUCCAGAGGUCAGAUCACAGUGACUCAGCCUGGAGCAGUGAGCUCUGCUCUGGGAGGCUCCGUCAUCAUCAGCUGUAGGACCAGUCAGGAUGUUUAUUAUAAUGCCUUUGAGCCAUCCCGCGGUAUGCACUGGUACCAACAGAAAGCUGGAGAAACUCCUAAACUUCUCAUUUACUACACUACCUAUCGAGCAUCAGGGAUUCCAGAUCGUUUUACAGGCAGUGGAUCAUACUCUGCCUUCACUCUGACCAUCAGUGGAGUUCAGGCUCAAGAUGCAGCAGUUUACUACUGUCAGAGUGAACAUAGCAUCAACAGUCAGAGUGUGUUCACACAGUGAAAAACCGUCGUACAAAAACCUCCCUCAGUCAGACUGAACAGAAACUGAGCUGACUGCUGUAGCUGGAAGCUACUGCAGAGACUGAUACACUUCACUGAGGACACACACACACACACACACACACACACACACACACACACA
Acanthopagrus latus (yellowfin seabream) is the source of this 727-nucleotide non-coding RNA. The record is from the annotation of a RefSeq genome assembly. Lineage: Eukaryota; Metazoa; Chordata; Actinopteri; Spariformes; Sparidae.